UUUAACAAAAACAUGUCCUCUAGGGAAUUUAGUGUGAGGUCGGACCUGCCCACUGAUGAUUUAUUAAAGGGCCGCGGUAUUUUGACCGUGCAAAGGUAGCAUAAUCAUUAGUCUUUUAAUUGAAGGCUGGUAUGAAUGGUUUGACGAGAUAUAAGCUGUCUCUGUAUAAUGAUAUAUAAUUUAACUUUUGAGUCAAAAGGCUUAAAUAAAUAUAAAAGACGAGAAGACCCUAUAGAGCUUUAUAUAUAAUUGUACUUGUAUAUUUGGAGGUAUUGUAAAUAAGUAUGAAUUAUAUGUUUUGUUGGGGUGACAUGAAGAUAUAAUAAACUCUUUAUUAUUAAAACAUUGAUUUAUGAUUAAUUGAUCCAUUAUUAAUGAUUACAAGAUAAAGUUACCUUAGGGAUAACAGCGUAAUUUUUUUUGAGAGUUCUUAUCGACAAGAAAGAUUGCGACCUC
This 456-nucleotide ribosomal RNA is filed under the name Tettigonia viridissima. RNAcentral's name for it is "partial 16S ribosomal RNA". It matches the Rfam family "Archaeal large subunit ribosomal RNA", at positions 1895 to 2596 of the family's 2987-position model. The record is from RNAcentral. Lineage: Eukaryota; Metazoa; Arthropoda; Insecta; Orthoptera; Tettigoniidae.